CUACUACACUUCAUACGAGCAAGUGUGCUAAUAUACAUGAAGACUUGGGUUAUAUUUUUUUCUGAAAACUAGGCUACAACUUUAGUGAUGAAUGCAGAAGAUAUCUACACGAGACUACGUCUUAAAGAUUCCACCCUCAUAUAAUGAAAGAGGACAAUAGAGAUGGGUUUAAACUGGAAUAUUUACAUGAUAUUUAUUUGUUAUUUGUAUUAUAUGUUUGUAGAAUACUACAUUCAAUAAAGCUAAUUAAGUUUAUCAUCUUGUCGACUUUCAAACAAUUAAAGAUAACUAAUCCUCAACGAAUAAACAUUAAAAUUCUAACAAUGUCAACUACCAUCUUAUAGGAUGAUACUAAGGACUGGGCAGAAAGAUUCUCCUUCAUAUUUGAGUGAUAAAGGUCUAUCAGUCUAUAUUAAAGAUUGAAUUAAUCAAUGAUAUUUUGAUUAUAAUUAUACAUGUUAAAAUUCAUUUACCUCUAUGGAUUUCUGUAUGGGAAGUUUUGUAGAUUAUGAAAUUAUUGCUACUUCAAGUAUUGUAUGUAAGAAGGUUUGAAAGACAACACUCUAAAUGCAUUAAAUAUGGAAACUGCUAAUCCUCAUUGCCUUUCGUAUCCAAACUGCUAGCUUUAAAAGAAUCAUGUUUUGAUGCUUCCCAACUUAAGAAAACAGGGAGUGAGGGGGGGGGGGCUUGCUAUCCUCUUCCAGGUCCUGUUACUACAUGGUCUAUUUAACAGGUUGCAAAAGUGUACAAAUAUGAUCAUAUGUUUAUAUUAGAAGGAUUUAGAAAGUGAAAUUUUGAAUUAAAGCAUUACUGUUGGUAGAAGUAAUAGCAGUGUCGAUUGUUAAUGGGAAGGGGGGGGUUCUUGGUGAAAUUUACGGUACGCCAACGUCAAAUUAAUAAAAAAGAGAAAACUAUUCUUAAAAAUAAAAA
Long non-coding RNA from Strongylocentrotus purpuratus (purple sea urchin), 930 nucleotides. RefSeq lists it as uncharacterized. The transcript is spliced from 2 exons. The record is from RefSeq and is a predicted model, not a curated record. Lineage: Eukaryota; Metazoa; Echinodermata; Echinoidea; Camarodonta; Strongylocentrotidae.